This 304-nucleotide ribosomal RNA is filed under the name Bibersteinia trehalosi. RNAcentral's name for it is "bacterial SSU rRNA". It matches the Rfam family "Bacterial small subunit ribosomal RNA", at positions 98 to 405 of the family's 1533-position model. Lineage: Bacteria; Pseudomonadati; Pseudomonadota; Gammaproteobacteria; Pasteurellales; Pasteurellaceae. The record is from RNAcentral.
GCGGACGGGUGAGUAAUGCUUGGGAAUCUGGCUUAUGGAGGGGGAUAACUACUGGAAACGGUAGCUAAUACCGCGUAAUAUCGUAAGAUUAAAGGGUGGGACUUUCGGGCCACCUGCCAUAAGAUGAGCCCAAGUGGGAUUAGGUAGUUGGUGGGGUAAAGGCCUACCAAGCCUGCGAUCUCUAGCUGGUCUGAGAGGAUGGCCAGCCACACUGGAACUGAGACACGGUCCAGACUCCUACGGGAGGCAGCAGUGGGGAAUAUUGCACAAUGGGGGGAACCCUGAUGCAGCCAUGCCGCGUGAA